GAUGAACGCUGGCGGCGUGCCUAAUACAUGCAAGUCGAGCGAACGGACUUGAAGCUUGCUUCUCUUAUGUUAGCGGCGGACGGGUGAGUAACACGUGGAUAACCUACCUAUAAGACUGGGAUAACUUCUGGAAACCGUAGCUAAUACCGCAUAAUAUUUUUAACCGCAUGUUUCAAGAUUGAAAGAUGCUCUUGCUUUCCCUUAUAGAUGUAUCCCCUCUGCUUUAGCUAUUUGUUAAGGUAACGGCUUACCAAGCCAACGAUGAAUACCCGACUUGGGAGGGGGAUCGGCAACACGGGAAAGGAGAAACGGUCCAGACUCCAACGGGAGGCAGCAGAAGGGAAUCUUCGGCAAAGGGCGAAGGCCUGCCGGAGAAAGGCCGCGUGAGUGAGGAAGGUCUUCGGAUCGAAAAACUCGGUGAUAAAGGAAGAACAUAUGUGGAAGGAAAAGUGCACAAAGUGACGGUAACUAAUCAGAAAGCCACGGCUAACUACGUG
This 497-nucleotide ribosomal RNA is filed under the name uncultured bacterium. RNAcentral's name for it is "partial 16S ribosomal RNA". It matches the Rfam family "Bacterial small subunit ribosomal RNA", at positions 28 to 507 of the family's 1533-position model. The record is from RNAcentral.